This 465-nucleotide ribosomal RNA is filed under the name Vreelandella stevensii. Its description in RNAcentral is "partial 16S ribosomal RNA". It matches the Rfam family "Bacterial small subunit ribosomal RNA", at positions 338 to 795 of the family's 1533-position model. The record is from RNAcentral. Lineage: Bacteria; Pseudomonadati; Pseudomonadota; Gammaproteobacteria; Oceanospirillales; Halomonadaceae.
CCUACGGGUGGCUGCAGUGGGGAAUAUUGGACAAUGGGCGAAAGCCUGAUCCAGCCAUGCCGCGUGUGUGAAGAAGGCCUUCGGGUUGUAAAGCACUUUCAGUGGGGAAGAAAGCCUUGGGGCUAAUACCCUCGAGGAAGGACAUCACCCACAGAAGAAGCACCGGCUAACUCCGUGCCAGCAGCCGCGGUAAUACGGAGGGUGCGAGCGUUAAUCGGAAUUACUGGGUGUAAAGCGCGCGUAGGCGGUCUGAUAAGCCGGUUGUGAAAGCCCCGGGCUCAACCUGGGAACGGCAUCCGGAACUGUCAGGCUAGAGUGCAGGAGAGGAAGGUAGAAUUCCCGGUGUAGCGGUGAAAUGCGUAGAGAUCGGGAGGAAUACCAGUGGCGAAGGCGGCCUUCUGGACUGACACUGACGCUGAGGUGCGAAAGCGUGGGUAGCAAACAGGAUUAGAUACCCUGGUAGUC